Non-coding RNA from Picea glauca (white spruce), 121 nucleotides. The record is from Rfam. Lineage: Eukaryota; Viridiplantae; Streptophyta; Pinopsida; Pinales; Pinaceae.
CGCAAUGCAACAUAUCAGCUAAGUGGGAUUGAUUGUGGGGAAAAACUCCACAGUUAAGCGUGUUUGAGCCAGAGGUGUCUUGGGAUGGGUGACCACCUGGGAAGUCCUGGUUACCUGGUGC